Long non-coding RNA from Papio anubis (olive baboon), 2353 nucleotides. The record is from Ensembl. Lineage: Eukaryota; Metazoa; Chordata; Mammalia; Primates; Cercopithecidae.
AUGAUGUCAGGGCUUCUGGAGCCCUCUCCGAGUGAGACAGAAAUGAAAACCAGUGCCAUUCCCAUGAGUUGCUAUGAGAAUUUUGGACACAGACAUGGAUCGUGGAGUGGCAGAGAUACCCUUGCCUCUGUGCAAAGUAGAGGUGCUGAAUGGAGUCUUCUGCAUGAGACUCAAAGAGCCUCAGAGAGGAGCCCUUCUGUUCAAAUGACUAAGGCAAUGCAAGGAGAAAUCAAAGUCAUAAAAAAAAAAAAAAAAAAAAACAGCACAAUAAAAGGACUGCAUGUUUAAAAAAGAACAGAGCUUUGCUUGAUUUAAACCUCCUCUACUACAUGAAUAUUCAAGUCCUCAAAUGUCUCUGAGCCAGUUCAUGAAGGGAUGAGUUUUUUUUUUUCUAAUUGACAAAUAAAAAUUAUACAUAUAUAUGGAUGGUAAACACCAUGAUGUUCUGAAAUACGUAUACCUUGUGGAGUGGCUAAAACAUGCUAAUUAACAUGUGUAUUCCUUCAUAUACUUAUAUAUUUUUUUGUGGUGGGAACACUUAAAAUCUACUCUCUUAGCAAUUUUCAACAUAUUCUUGACUAUAGUCACCAUGCUGUACAAUAGAGCUCUUGAACUUUUUCCUCCUAACUGAAAUUUUGUAUCCUUUGACCUAUCUCUCCCCAACCUCCCUCCAUGAGUUUAUUUUUAUAGGCCAAUAAAGUGAAUAUUGAUCAUUCAGAUUUUGAGAUUUCAGAUCCUUAGGGCUUAUCUCAACAUUGAACAUUUAUUAACUGCCUAUGUCAUGGCAGGUACCAAUAGCCCUGCCUCUAGGUCUUUCACAACCACCUGGCCUCAGGAAGUGACAUGGCCAGGCUGGCCCCUCUGCAUGUCCCUAAUACCACCUCGAGGCCCCGGACUGGCCAUGAGAAUCUGCCCCAUCAUGAGAAAGACUGACCACAUUUUCCACUUCCAGUCCAGUGUGCCUGUGGCAAAGUCCAAAUGGAAAUAUUACUGUCUUUUUUUAAUGGGAUAAUUUUUUAAAAAAGAUUCCUAAUAUCAUGAGCUAUUUUAUGGGUGGCAGGGGAAGGGAUUUGAGGGAGGUAUUCUUAGUAUAACUCUUCUCCCUCAGUAUAUAUUGAAUUAAAUUAUAACUCAGUGUUUGUGCUGCCCUAUCUGUGCUGUGUUAUACCAAGUUAUUCUAAGACAUUCAGGAAAGAAGAGGUUUGGCAGGAACUAAAGGCAUUUAUAAUGGGAAAAACAGAACAUUUUCUUUUCUUGAGGAUAAAAUUUCAUCAUGUAUUCUCCAAAUCAGAUUUUAUGACAUGUACCCUUUAAUUGUAUUCCAGUUCUUUUUUAAGGGGGAGGGGUAAGGAUGAAGCGUAGAUAUAGCUCCUUGUCUUAUUCUUAGUUAGAAUCAACAACAUUUGUACUUCAAACCCAGACAACACCAAUGUCUCCCACAAGGUAUAAUACAUUUAACAAUAAGGUCACCGAAGGUCAUCUCUUGAAGGGUUUCUGCUUUGUAAAAGGAGACAAUAUUCUCAGCAGCCCACUGUUCACCUAUCUGGAUUCUUCCUUUUUUCCUGCAGGGAAGUAGGGGGAAAGAGGUAGGUCGUACAGCCUGGAAAGGCCAGAGUCUUCUGGGAAUGCCUGGCAUAGGUAUCCAAGAUAAAGCUGUUUUAUUCAUUUCAACUACCUUGGUCACCAAUGCCAGUUGUCCCAGGCUAUGGGAUCUGUGUGGUCAGCGGGGAAGGAAGGGAGGGAUUGGAAAGUUGAAAUCUGUUCCUCUGGCCAGCCUAGGUAUUCUGUUCCAAGCAGGGGAAGAGCUAUCUUAUUUUCUAAAAUCCUUAGUGGCGUGAUAAUUUUCAUAUUCUGAUGUGUAUGAGUUGCCUACUACUGUUCAGUUUCUGAAGUUGAUGCUAUUUUUCUGACCCUGUUAAGACAACUGGGCUUCACUUCACUCAUUUUAGCCUUUAACACAUGGAAAACACAUUGUCACUAUGUUUUAUGAAGCACAUGAGUCCUAACCUCUGCCCCUCACACCCACCACCUUGCCCUUCCUACCUUCUCUCACCCCAGUCUACUUUGGUCACUGUUUGGAAUGGAAGUUAGACUUCAUGAAAUGCAUUCUACUCACCAACUCACAAAGCAUUAAAAUAGAAGUUUUCUUUCCUGGUUGGGCCAUUUUCAAAGGGGAAACUUUUUAAGUAGUCCUUCUACAGAAGUCACCAAAAAGAUAGAAAACAGGAAAUUACAUGAAUUACUGAGAAAGUCUGCAUAUGAUUCUAAUUUUAUUCUUCCAACUAAUGAAGAUAAUAUGCCCUGAAUAUAAUAUAACACUAUUAAAACAAUAAAAUAGCAGUGCAAUAGUCAC